UGACGUUAUCUUAGAAUAAGCCCGGCUAACUCCGUGCCAGCAGCCGCGGUAAUACGGAGGGUGCAAGCGUUAUCGGAAUUACUGGGCGUAAAGCGGCGUAGGUGGUUUUUAAGUUAGAUGUGAAACCGGGCUCAACCUGGAACUGCUUAAAACUGCACUAGAGUAUGGAGAGGAAUGGAAUUUCGGUGUAGCGGUGAAAUCGUAGAUAUCUGAAGGAACACAAUGGCGAAGGCGGCUUUCUGGACAUAUGACACUGAGGUGCGAAAGCGUGGGUAGCAAACAGGAUUAGAUACCCUGGUAGUCCACCCUAAACGA
Molecule: ribosomal RNA, 315 nt
Filed under: uncultured bacterium
Lineage: Bacteria
Description: bacterial SSU rRNA
Rfam family: Bacterial small subunit ribosomal RNA
Source: RNAcentral